This 788-nucleotide long non-coding RNA is filed under the name Phoenix dactylifera (date palm). Its description in RNAcentral is "long non-coding RNA (PDAC_LNC018020)". The record is from RNAcentral. Lineage: Eukaryota; Viridiplantae; Streptophyta; Magnoliopsida; Arecales; Arecaceae.
UUUUCAUUUGAUGUUAAAAAUUCUUAAUUUUGAAUCCAUUAGACUUUUCUUGAAUUAAAAGCUUUUCAUGACCUCUAAUUAUAACAAGCAAAUCUACCUGCCCUUCCAAGCCAAGUGCUGCACCGGAUAUCAAAGGCUACAUGAAGAAAAAUGGAUCAGUCAGAGAAUGAACUUAGAAAUCUAGCAUAAUAUGUACUUUGAUACAUGAAACAUAGGUAAUGAACAAAGUAUGGCCCAGAAGUGAUCGUUCUAUGGUUUCUAAAUGCAUCUAUAUUUCUUAUGUAAAGAUGAGGAACCCAUUCUCAAAAUCAUUAGGGAAAUGAAUGCAUCAUGCAUCUUUAUAUCAACAGUGCACUUUUCCUUUCAAAUAUGUAUGCUUCCCCUCGGACUUACAAUUUAUUCUAUAAAACCCUAUUAUCAGAAAAUAGAGUACAAGAAUGUAGUCUACCCUCACCCUUAGCUCCUUAAGGAGUAAUUUAUAUCAUCUGACAAUAGUAACUUUCUAAUCUCAUAUAUUUAUCGUAUGUAUCGAUCUAUGGAAUAGUAUGUUUUGUCCUGUGAAGGAUGACGUGAAAACAAUUUCGUCCAAAACACAUGACUUCUACUAAAACAGGUCAUAUUUUGCCUUAGAUACAAAAACAAUCCAUAGUUUCAUUGGGUAUUUGCUAUGACUUCAAACAUACAACUUUAGUUAUUGUUUUUCCAUCAGAACGGUAUGGUAGCGGUCCUAAGGAUAUGUAACAAAGCUGACAACCUUAAAAAUAAUUAAAAACCAUCGCACAAACCAG